Molecule: long non-coding RNA, 1275 nt
Filed under: Chinchilla lanigera (long-tailed chinchilla)
Lineage: Eukaryota; Metazoa; Chordata; Mammalia; Rodentia; Chinchillidae
Description: lncRNA (ENSCLAG00000029295.1)
Source: RNAcentral
AGGGAGGACCAGCUGAGCUGGGUAAUCAAAGCUCUUCUAAUCGCCGCAGCUCUGGAGAUGUGUUCAAAGGCUCUUUCCUGACCACAGGCUGAGCAAGUCCAGCCUUGCAUGGAGAGGAGGAUAUCUCUGAAGGAAGACAGAAAAAGCAGGAGGAAUGCAAGGACCAAGCUGGAAUUACCCUAGCCCAGAGGCAAAACAUGAAAAUGAAGGUGGACAUACUGAAAUGGUCAGAAACCCACGCCAGAAGUCAGUGCGACGUGGAUGUGCACGGGGCUUCCUAGCCCAUGUUAUGAACAGCCUGCUGCAUGGCCGUCGAAGGAAAUGCUACAGAGUUGAGUCCAGAGAAACAGAGACACAUCAGAAGAUCUUCAUCUCCUUUAAUCUUCGGCUUCAGAAGCUCUACACCAAAUGAGAUAACUAAAGCUUCCUGUAUGAGGCAGCAGUGUGGUCUGGGGAGGAUUACCCUUAAGAUUCUUGUAGGAGUAUGAAGAAUCCUGUCCUUUGGGGGUUCAGAGCCUCUGUAGACCUGGGCCUCUAGUUACACAUCUUGAUGUUUGGGACCAUGAUAGAACCUGAUGACCAUAUAUUUGUGGACUAUAGACAAUUACUUAAACUUCUGUGGAAAAUAAUUUCUGAAUUGGGGAAUGAAAACAUAGAAUUGCAAAGAAACAAAGAGAUAUUAAUUUUUAAAAGAUCAACAUUCAGCAGAAGUAUCAAUCCUGGCUAGAGAAAAAGUACUAUCCUGGUGUGAUGGAAUGAGACGUGAGCAGAAUACUGAACUGGAAUCACAUAGCUUUUGAAUGAAAAUGGCUCAUAUUUGGAUGACUGGCUUAUAUACCCUUAUAAUUACAUCUAGUCCAAAGGCAUGCAUUGAUAUGUGUAGGUGGCCCUUAAAAUAUUUCAUUCACCAGAAAGCGGCUUAGAGAGAACUCUACCCUGCUAUUUCAGUGGUGUUUGAAAUAACUGCAAAAGGUCACAUGUCAUGAAUAAUAGACACAGAGCAACACUUCUUGAAUAAACACGGAGCUGAGACCUCAGUGAUGGUAGGUUUUUCUGGAGGGUAGUGGAAGUAGGACACUGGUAUUAAUAUGGUGACCCCUAGUGUCUCAUGGUGGUAGCACGACUUGGAAUCACACCAGCACCCUGCCCUAAGUAGGGCCUCCCUACAAUCUUCUGCCUGAAGGAGUUAUUGCCCAUCAUGAGUAUUUACGUCAUUAAAACCAUCAUGUUAAGCAAAACCCUCUUCAACUAUAAUGCAUUUUCUUCACAAUAUCC